AGGACGAACGCUGGCGGCGUGCUUAACACAUGCAAGUCGAGCGGAAAGGCCCUUCGGGGUACUCGAGCGGCGAACGGGUGAGUAACACGUGAGCAACCUGCCCUUAGCUCCGGGAUAGCUCCGGGAAACCGGAAUUAAUACCGGAUAUGACCUAGGCCGACAUCGGCUGUGGUGGAAAGUUUUUCGGCUGGGGAUGGACUCGCGGCCUAUCAGCUUGUUGGUGGGGUAAUGGCCUACCAAGGCGACGACGGGUAGCCGGCCUGAGAGGGCGACCGGCCACACUGGGACUGAGACACGGCCCAGACUCCUACGGGAGGCAGCAGUGGGGAAUCUUGCGCAAUGGGCGAAAGCCUGACGCAGCGACGCCGCGUGGGGGAUGAAGGCCUUCGGGUUGUAAACCCCUUUCAGCAGGGACGAAGCGAAAGUGACGGUACCUGCAGAAGAAGCGCGGCUACUACGCGCCAGCAGCCGC
RNAcentral lists this ribosomal RNA (472 nucleotides) under uncultured bacterium. Its description in RNAcentral is "SSU rRNA". It matches the Rfam family "Bacterial small subunit ribosomal RNA", at positions 26 to 518 of the family's 1533-position model. The record is from RNAcentral.